This 529-nucleotide ribosomal RNA is filed under the name uncultured fungus. Its description in RNAcentral is "SSU rRNA". It matches the Rfam family "Eukaryotic small subunit ribosomal RNA", at positions 289 to 822 of the family's 1831-position model. Lineage: Eukaryota; Fungi. The record is from RNAcentral.
GAUGGUUCAUUCAAAUUUCUGCCCUAUCAACUUUCGAUGGUAGAGUAGUGGUCUACCAUGGUGGCAACGGGUAAACGGGGAAUUAGGGUUCUAUUCCGGAGAGGGAGCCUGAGAAACGGCUACCACAUCCAAGGAAGGCAGCAGGCGCGCAAAUUACCCAAUCCCGACACGGGGAGGUAGUGACAAUAAAUACUGAUACAGGGCUCUUUUGGGUCUUGUAAUUGGAAUGAGUACAAUUUAAAUCCCUUAACGAGGACACAAUUGGAGGGCAAGUCUGGUGCCAGCAGCCGCGGUAAUUCCAGCUCCAAUAGCGUAUAUUAAAGUUGUUGCAGUUAAAAAGCUCGUAGUUGAACCUUGGGCCUGGCUGGCCGGUCCGCCUCACCGCGUGCACUGGUCCGGCCGGGCCUUUCCUUCUGGGGAGCCGCAUGCCCUUCACUGGGUGUGUCGGGGAAACCAGGACUUUUACUUUGAAAAAAUUAGAGUGUCAAAGCAGGCCUAUGCUCGAAUACAUUAGCAUGGAAUAAAUAGA